Bufo gargarizans (Asiatic toad) is the source of this 1801-nucleotide long non-coding RNA. RefSeq lists it as uncharacterized. NCBI's taxonomy places the organism in Eukaryota, Metazoa, Chordata, Amphibia, Anura, Bufonidae. The transcript is spliced from 3 exons. The record is from RefSeq and is a predicted model, not a curated record.
UUGGCAUAUCUAUAAGACAACUGAUCUAACAUGGCAGGCUUAGAUAUGGCGGCUCAGCUCUAUAAGAUUGCCAGCCAUUCCUGUGUCCGUGAAAAAAAAAUAGACAUGAGGUUGGUGGUACUUGACUAGAUUAUUUUGGUGCUGUCCGUGAUUUUGGGAUAAGUUGUCCAGAAAAAAAGAAAAAAUGUGGUUUGCAACCCUGUCAACGUGGCGGAUCAGUUCCAUUCACAUGAAUGGGGAUUGCUGAAAUCCGUGUGCUUGGAUCAUCUGUGUGCUUUCCGCAUCCGUAAGUCCGUUCGGCAAAAAGCUGCGGGGAGCGUCAGGGAUCACCAAGGUGAUGAUUGACGGCUUCCUUUUAAAGGCACGUCCGUGCGCCUGCACAUCAUAGCCGGUCUGAAGAAGCGCGAUUCUUGCGCGAAACGGCCGUUAACGCUUAUGCGCACCGUGGCCAUCCCGCUCCCCAGCCUGCGCAGUAUGCAACUUAACCUGCAAUAAAGCUACAAGUAUUCACAUGACCUCAGUGAGUGCCGCUUCUCUUCUUCUAUACUGAUUUUGUUCCCCUGCAUCACGCUGAGCACCACUAUCCUGGUCAACGGGGGCAGCCGCAGGUCUAUGGACUUCCGACAUACGUAAGGGGCAAACAGGUGAUUAAUACUACUGCGUAGUGCCGCUGUUUUUCCAUUCUUUCUCAUUUACCUUUGUAUUAGACUUAAAGUUUAUAUAGGGGGUAAUGUGAUUGACAGACUUUGCACCCAGUACAAUGAGUGACUGAGUACCUGUCAUCUGCCUGCGACUGUAACCACACCCCCAUGAUGAGGUCAACUACCAAACUAAUAAAGAAAAAAAAAGAAAAAAAUAGCCUUGAUAGCCUUUGGACUGAGGCUAUCAAGUCGAUAGAUCCAUCUUGUUUCUUCUUUCAGAAGGGUAACAUCAAGAUCACCCCUUCUGGCGCCUAGAGUCUUUUUACAGAUGCCCCAGAAUUUGAGUACUUUGUGAUCUCCAUCAUGAUAAGCCCUUACAUGUCUGGAGAUUGACGUGUCUGCCUUGGUGUUAAUGCUGCUGAUAUGCUGCCAGAUUCUUCUCCUGAACUCUUGGGACGUCUUACCGACAUAUAUCUUGGGACAUAAGCAUUGGACGGCAUAUACUAUGCCUUUGGUCUUACAGUUUAUAUAUUGUCUGAUAUGGUAUUCUUUUCCAUCUGCAGGAUUAGUGAAUGAUCGACAUCUUCUCACAAGAGGACAGAACACACAGUCACCACACGGGUACGUGCCCACUAUUUUAGAUGUUAACCAGGUAGUCUUUGGUGGUUCAGGGCGAUAGAAGCUAUGGACCAACACAUCCUUCAAAUUCCUAUCUCGACGGUAGGUGACACUGGGAUUCUCUGCGUGAUAACAUUCCUGAGAUCAUUGUCUGCCCACAGGACAUGCCAGUGUUUCUUCAGAAUCCAAAACACUUGAUUGUUUUGGGCAUCAAAGGUGCCGAUGCAUCUAACAACUUAUGCAACAGAUGUCUUUAGGUGCAGCGUUUAACAAUUCUGUCCGAUUGAUAUUGCUUGCUGAUGCAAGACCUUUUUGGGAUAUCCCCUUACUCGAAAACGAUCGUACAGGGUAUUACUCUCUUUAGUGAAACUGGCAUCGUCUGAACAAUUCCUGCGGGCUCUGAUCUACUGUCCACCGGAGUGGUUUCGGGUGGCAACUAUUCCACUGCAAUAAAUUGUUUGUCGCUGUGGGUUUCCGAUGGAUCUCGGAUUGGAUGUGGCCAUCAGGGUCCAGGAACAGUCUGAGAUCAAGAAACGUGAUUG